AGAGUUUGAUCCUGGCUCAGAACGAACGCUGGCGGCGUGCUUAACACAUGCAAGUCGAACGAGAAAGAGUUCCUUCGGGAGCUUGAGUAGAGUGGCGCACGGGUGAGUAACGCGUAGAUAAUCUACCCUUAUAUUUGGAAUAACUGGGCGAAAGCCCAGCUAAUACCGAAUACGCUUUUCUGUCCGCGAGGGCAGGGGAGGAAAGAUGGCCUCUGACAUAAGCUAUCGUAUAAGGAUGAGUCUGCGUACCAUUAGCUAGUAGGUGGGGUAAUGGCCCACCUAGGCGACGAUGGUUAGCGGGUCUGAGAGGAUGAUCCGCCACACUGGAACUGGAACACGGACCAGACUCCUACGGGAGGCAGCAGUGAGGAAUUUUGCGCAAUGGGGGAAACCCUGACGCAGCGACGCCGCGUGGGUGAUGAAGGCUUUCGAGUCGUAAAGCCCUGUCAGGUGGGAAGAAAUCUCAUCGUGCUAAUAUCGCGAUGAAUUGACGGUACCACUAAAGGAAGCACCGGCUAACUCCGUGCCAGCAGCCGCGGUAAUACGGAGGGUGCAAGCGUUGUUCGGAAUUACUGGGCGUAAAGGGCGCGUAGGCGGCGCUGUAAGUCAGAUGUGAAAGUCCACGGCUCAACCGUGGAAGUGCAUCUGAUACUGCAGCGCUUGAGUAUCGGAUGGGAAAGUAGAAUUCCCGGUGUAGAGGUGAAAUUCGUAGAUAUCGGGAGGAAUACCGGUGGCGAAGGCGACUUUCUGGACGAAUACUGACGCUGAUGCGCGAAAGCGUGGGGAGCAAACAGGAUUAGAUACCCUGGUAGUCC
This 815-nucleotide ribosomal RNA is filed under the name uncultured bacterium. RNAcentral's name for it is "bacterial SSU rRNA". It matches the Rfam family "Bacterial small subunit ribosomal RNA", at positions 8 to 796 of the family's 1533-position model. The record is from RNAcentral.